UGGCGAACGGGUGAGUAAUACAUCGGAACGUGUCCUGUAGUGGGGGAUAGCCCGGCGAAAGCCGGAUUAAUACCGCAUACGACCUAAGGGGGAAAGCGGGGGAUCUUCGGACCUCGCGCUAUGGGGGUGGCCGAUGGCAGAUUAGCUGGUUGGUGGGGUAAAGGCCUACCAAGGCGACGAUCUGUAGCUGGUCUGAGAGGGCGACCAGCCACACUGGGACUGAGACGCGGCCCAGACUCCUACGGGAGGCAGCAGUGGGGAAUUUUGGACAAUGGGGGCAACCCUGAUCCAGCAAUGCCGCGUGUGUGAAGAAGGCCUUCGGGUUGUAAAGCACUUUUGUCCGGAAAGAAAACUGCCACCCUAAUAAUGGUGGUGGGAUGACGGUACCGGAAGAAUAAGCACCGGCUAACUACGUGCCAGCAGCCGCGGUAAUACGUAGGGUGCGAGCGUUAAUCGGAAUUACUGGGCGUAAAGCGUGCGCAGGCGGUUUGUUAAGACCGAUGUGAAAUCCCCGGGCUUAACCUGGGAACUGCAUUGGUGACUGGCAGCUUUGAGUGUGGCAGAGGGGGGUAGAAUUCCACGUGUAGCAGUGAAAUGCGUAGAGACGUGGGGGAAUACCGAUGGCGAAGGCAGCCCCCUGGGCCAACCCUGACGCUCAUGCACGAAAGCGUGGGGAGCAAACAGGAUUAGAUACCCUGGUAGUCCACGCCCUAAACGAUGUCAACUAGUUGUUGGGGAUUCAUUUCCUUGGUAACGUAGCUAACGCGUGAAGUUGACCGCCUGGGGAGUACGGUCGCAAGAUUAAAACUCAAAGGAAUUGACGGGGACCCGCACAAGCGGUGGAUGAUGUGGAUUAAUUCGAUGCAACGCGAAAAACCUUACCUAUCCUUGACAUGGUCGGAACCCUGCUGAAAAGUGGGGGUGCUCGAAAGAGAACCGGCGCACAGGUGCUGCAUGGCUGUCGUCAGCUCGUGUCGUGAGAUGUUGGGUUAAGUCCCGCAACGAGCGCAACCCUUGUCCUUAGUUGCUACGCAAGAGCACUCUAGGGAGACUGCCGGUGACAAACCGGAGGAGGGUGGGGAUGACGUCAAGUCCUCAUGGCCCUUAUGGGUAGGGCUUCACA
This 1123-nucleotide ribosomal RNA is filed under the name Burkholderia sp. SD2575. RNAcentral's name for it is "bacterial SSU rRNA". It matches the Rfam family "Bacterial small subunit ribosomal RNA", at positions 96 to 1220 of the family's 1533-position model. The record is from RNAcentral. Lineage: Bacteria; Pseudomonadati; Pseudomonadota; Betaproteobacteria; Burkholderiales; Burkholderiaceae.